GGGAGCCGGAGGGAAACCGAGUCUUAAUUGGGCGUUAAGUUGCAGGGUAUAGACCCGAAACCCGGUGAUCUAGCCAUGGGCAGGUUGAAGGUUGGGUAACACUAACUGGAGGACCGAACCGACUAAUGUUGAAAAAUUAGCGGAUGACCUGUGGCUGGGGGUGAAAGGCCAAUCAAACCGGGAGAUAGCUGGUUCUCCCCGAAAGCUAUUUAGGUAGCGCCUCGUGAAUUCAUCUCCGGGGGUAGAGCACUGUUUCGGCUAGGGGGCCAUCCCGGCUUACCAACCCGAUGCAAACUGCGAAUACCGGAGAAUGUUAUCACGGGAGACACACGGCGGGUGCUAACGUCCGUCGUGAAGAGGGAAACAACCCAGACCGCCAGCUAAGGUCCCAAAGUCAUGGUUAAGUGGGAAACGAUGUGGGAAGGCCCAGACAGCCAGGAUGUUGGCUUAGAAGCAGCCAUCAUUUAAAGAAAGCGUAAUAGCUCACUGGUCGAGUCGGCCUGCGCGGAAGAUGUAACGGGGCUAAACCAUG
RNAcentral lists this ribosomal RNA (532 nucleotides) under Salmonella enterica. Its description in RNAcentral is "partial 23S ribosomal RNA". It matches the Rfam family "Bacterial large subunit ribosomal RNA", at positions 661 to 1191 of the family's 2925-position model. The record is from RNAcentral. RNAcentral also lists the same sequence under 3 other names. Lineage: Bacteria; Pseudomonadati; Pseudomonadota; Gammaproteobacteria; Enterobacterales; Enterobacteriaceae.